AUACAUGCAAGUCGAGCGGACAGAUGGGAGCUUGCUCCCUGAUGUUAGCGGCGGACGGGUGAGUAACACGUGGGUAACCUGCCUGUAAGACUGGGAUAACUCCGGGAAACCGGGGCUAAUACCGGAUGCUUGUUUGAACCGCAUGGUUCAAACAUAAAAGGUGGCUUCGGCUACCACUUACAGAUGGACCCGCGGCGCAUUAGCUAGUUGGUGAGGUAAUGGCUCACCAAGGCAACGAUGCGUAGCCGACCUGAGAGGGUGAUCGGCCACACUGGGACUGAGACACGGCCCAGACUCCUACGGGAGGCAGCAGUAGGGAAUCUUCCGCAAUGGACGAAAGUCUGACGGAGCAACGCCGCGUGAGUGAUGAAGGUUUUCGGAUCGUAAAGCUCUGUUGUUAGGGAAGAACAAGUGCCGUUCAAAUAGGGCGGCACCUUGACGGUACCUAACCAGAAAGCCACGGCUAACUACGUGCCAGCAGCCGCGGUAAUACGUAGGUGGCAAGCGUUGUCCGGAAUUAUUGGGCGUAAAGGGCUCGCAGGCGGUUUCUUAAGUCUGAUGUGAAAGCCCCCGGCUCAACCGGGGAGGGUCAUUGGAAACUGGGGAACUUGAGUGCAGAAGAGGAGAGUGGAAUUCCACGUGUAGCGGUGAAAUGCGUAGAGAUGUGGAGGAACACCAGUGGCGAAGGCGACUCUCUGGUC
Molecule: ribosomal RNA, 701 nt
Filed under: Bacillus sp. (in: firmicutes)
Lineage: Bacteria; Bacillati; Bacillota; Bacilli; Caryophanales; Bacillaceae
Description: bacterial SSU rRNA
Rfam family: Bacterial small subunit ribosomal RNA
Source: RNAcentral